RNAcentral lists this non-coding RNA (119 nucleotides) under Alligator mississippiensis (American alligator). RNAcentral's name for it is "Eukaryotic small subunit ribosomal RNA". It matches the Rfam family "Eukaryotic small subunit ribosomal RNA", at positions 477 to 594 of the family's 1831-position model. Lineage: Eukaryota; Metazoa; Chordata; Crocodylia; Alligatoridae. The record is from Rfam by way of RNAcentral.
AUAACAACGCAGGACUCUUUUGAGGCUCUGUAAUUGGAAUGAGUAUACUUUAAAUCUUUUAAUGAGGAUGUAUUGGAGGGCAAAUCUGGUGCCAGCAGCCAUGCUAAUUCCUACUCCAA